Ornithorhynchus anatinus (platypus) is the source of this 138-nucleotide small nucleolar RNA. The record is from RefSeq and is a predicted model, not a curated record. NCBI's taxonomy places the organism in Eukaryota, Metazoa, Chordata, Mammalia, Monotremata, Ornithorhynchidae.
CACCUCGCAGGGUCGCACCUGUAGAGUUUCCAGUAUUCUACCAGUCUCGGCUAAGGGAGGGAGAGUCAAGCAGAGAUUUACCUGCUCCAUUCCUAGCCUGCCCAGUGGCUAGCGAGUGGAAGGCAAUCUGCUACAAGU